CUGUUUUUUUCCUACAGUUACAGAUGAACACAAGUCAUAACGUACAAAGAUUUUACGGAACACCUUUGCUAUGAAUUGGUGAUUUUUUCCUAGACCCUACAGACCUUGGACACAGAUUUGAUGAGUUCCACUUUGGCAAAUUCAUCAAUGUAUCUCAAGCAAGUGUUCUUCUUUGACAUCCAUCCAGCACUUGGAAAGUUGUUGCUUGCAGGAGCUGGCUACAUGGCUGAUACCAAUGUCACGUUUCCCUUUGAGAGGAUCGGGGAUGACCAACUCACCAGGGCCCAACUUCAUAACGCUGCUUAACGAAUUGGAUUGAUGCUGUGCAAUUGAACAACAUUUAUUUAACUAUUGUUUGAAGUUUGGCAUGAUGUGGAUAAAUUUGAAGAAACUAUAAAUACAUGAUGAACUUAAGGGUACACCUAUAU
This is a long non-coding RNA of Asterias rubens (European starfish), 428 nucleotides long. RefSeq lists it as uncharacterized. The record is from RefSeq and is a predicted model, not a curated record. The transcript is spliced from 4 exons. NCBI's taxonomy places the organism in Eukaryota, Metazoa, Echinodermata, Asteroidea, Forcipulatida, Asteriidae.